RNAcentral lists this ribosomal RNA (373 nucleotides) under uncultured eukaryote. RNAcentral describes it as "partial 18S ribosomal RNA". It matches the Rfam family "Eukaryotic small subunit ribosomal RNA", at positions 592 to 976 of the family's 1831-position model. The record is from RNAcentral.
CAAUAGCGUAUAUUUAAGUUGUUGCAGUUAAAAAGCUCGUAGUUGGAUUUCGGUUGAGAACGGCCGGUCCGCCGUUUGGUGUGCACUGGCUGGUUUCAACUUCCUGUAGAGGACGUGCUCUGGCUUCACGGCUGGACGCGGAGUCUACGUGAUUACUUUGAAAAAAUUAGAGUGUUCAAAGCGGGCUUACGCUUGAAUAUUUCAGCAUGGAAUAACACUAUAGGACUCCUGUCCUAUUUCGUUGGUCUCGGGACGGGAGUAAUGAUUAAGAGGAACAGUUGGGGGCAUUCGUAUUUCAUUGUCAGAGGUGAAAUUCUUGGAUUUAUGAAAGACGAACUUCUGCGAAAGCAUUUGCCAAGGAUGUUUUCAUUAA